AUGCUAGGUUCUACAACCAUUGUUGUAGCUCAUCAUAUGUAUUCUAUGCCUCCCUAUCCAUAUCUAGCUACUGACUAUGGUACACAACUUUCCUUGUUCACACACCACAUGUGGAUUGGCGGAUUUCUAAUAGUCGGUGUUGCUGCACAUGUAGCAAUUUUUAUGGUAAGAGACUAUGAUCCAACUACUCGAUACAACGAUCUAUUAUAUCGCGUCCUUAGACACCGCGAUGCAAUCAUAUCCCACCUUAACUGGGUAUGUAUAUUUCUAGGUUUUCAUAGUUUUGGCUUGUACAUUCAUAAUGAUACCAUGAGUGCUUUAGGCCGUCCACAAGAUAUGUUUUCGGAUACUGCCAUACAAUUACAACCUAUCUUUGCUCAAUUUGUACAAAAUAUCCAUGCUACUGCGCCUGGCGUAAUAGCUCCUGGUGCAACUACAAGUACUAGCUUAACGUGGGGAGGCGGCGAGUUAGUAGCAGUAGGUGGCAAAGUGGCUUUGUUACCUAUUCCAUUAGGAACCGCAAAUUUUUUAGUCCAUCACAUUCAUGCAUUUACCAUACAUGUGACUGUAUUAAUAGUUUUGAAAGGUGUUUUAUUUGCUCGGAGUUCCCGUUUGAUACCCGAUAAAGCAAAUCUAGGUUUUUGCUUUCCUUGCGAUGGGCCUGGCCGAGGGGGAACAUGUCAAGUAUCCGCCUGGGAUCAUGUUUUCUUAGGUUUAUUCUGGAGGUGCAAUGCAAUUUCGGUAGUCAUUUUCCAUUUCAGUUGGAAAAUGCAGUCGGAUGUUUGGGGUACUAUUAGUGAUCAAGGGGUGGUAACUCAUAUUACAGGGGGAAACUUUGCACAGAGUUCCAUUACGAUUAAUGGGUGGCUUCGAGAUUUCUUGUGGGCACAGGCAUCGCAAGUCAUUCAGUCUUAUGGUUCUUCAUUAUCUACAUAUGGUAUUUUUUUUCUUAGGUGA
RNAcentral lists this ribosomal RNA (957 nucleotides) under Triticum aestivum (bread wheat). RNAcentral's name for it is "partial small subunit ribosomal RNA". Lineage: Eukaryota; Viridiplantae; Streptophyta; Magnoliopsida; Poales; Poaceae. The record is from RNAcentral.